GGGGUUGUGGCUCAGUGGUAGAGCACUUGACUUGCAUUUGUGAGGCACUGGGUUCAAUUCUCAGAACCACA
This is a non-coding RNA of Ictidomys tridecemlineatus (thirteen-lined ground squirrel), 71 nucleotides long. NCBI's taxonomy places the organism in Eukaryota, Metazoa, Chordata, Mammalia, Rodentia, Sciuridae. The record is from Rfam.